GACGAACGCUGGCGGCGUGCUUAACACAUGCAAGUCGAACGGAAAGGCCCUGCUUGCAGGGUACUCGAGUGGCGAACGGGUGAGUAACACGUGGGGGAUCUGCCCUGCACUUCGGGAUAAGCCUGGGAAACUGGGUCUAAUACCGGAUAGGAGCCAUUUUUAGUGUGAUGGUUGGAAAGUUUUUUCGGUGUAGGAUGAGCUCGCGGCCUAUCAGCUUGUUGGUGGGGUAAUGGCCUACCAAGGCGGCGACGGGUAGCCGGCCUGAGAGGGUGGACGGCCACAUUGGGACUGAGAUACGGCCCAGACUCCUACAGGAGGCAGCAGUGGGGAAUAUUGCACAAUGGGCGCAAGCCUGAUGCAGCGACGCCGCGUGGGGGAUGACGGCCUUCGGGUUGUAAACUCCUUUCGCUAGGGACGAAGCUUUUUGUGACGGUACCUAGAUAAGAAGCACCGGCUAACUACGUG
This 465-nucleotide ribosomal RNA is filed under the name uncultured bacterium. RNAcentral's name for it is "partial 16S ribosomal RNA". It matches the Rfam family "Bacterial small subunit ribosomal RNA", at positions 28 to 507 of the family's 1533-position model. The record is from RNAcentral.